RNAcentral lists this ribosomal RNA (484 nucleotides) under uncultured bacterium. RNAcentral describes it as "partial 16S ribosomal RNA". It matches the Rfam family "Bacterial small subunit ribosomal RNA", at positions 30 to 507 of the family's 1533-position model. The record is from RNAcentral.
AUUGAACGCUGGCGGCAUGCCUAACACAUGCAAGUCGAGCGGAUGAAGGGAGCUGGCUCCUGGAUUCACCGACAGACGGGUGGGUAAUACCUAGUAAUCUGCCUGGUAAUAGGGGAUCCCGUCCCGAAACGGACGCUAAUACCACAUACGCCCAUAUGGAGAAAGUGGAGGUUCUUCGGACCUCACGCUAUCACAGGAGCCUUGGUCGGAGUAGCUAGGUGGUGGGGGAAAGGCCUACCAAGGCGACGAUCAGUAACGGGUCUGAGAGGAGGAUCAGACACACUGGAACUGAGACACGGUCCAGACUCCUACGGGAGGCAGCAGUGGGGAAUAUUGGACAAUGGGCGAAAGCCUGAGCCAGCCAUGCCGCGUGUGUGAAGAAGGUCUUCGGAUUGUAAAGAACUUUAAGUUGGGAGGAAGGGCAGUAAGUUAAUAACUUGCUGUUUUGACGUUACCAAAAGAAUAAGCACCGGCUAACUUCGUG